This is an RNA transcript of Sitodiplosis mosellana (orange wheat blossom midge), 1978 nucleotides long. It is a transcript of the gene named serine/threonine-protein phosphatase 2A activator-like, with no coding region annotated. NCBI's taxonomy places the organism in Eukaryota, Metazoa, Arthropoda, Insecta, Diptera, Cecidomyiidae. The record is from RefSeq and is a predicted model, not a curated record. The transcript has 6 exons.
UCAAUUUCAUUCAGUGAACCUUUUUUUUUCCAAUAGGGAUCACAGUGACGUUCAAAUAUGAAUAACACAGUUCUCGCACCGCUCACUGUGGGUUUAGAAGUUGACAGUGACAUUUGUGUAUGCAUCGCAAUAUAUUAUUUUAUACAGAAGAAAUUUAUCGUUAAAUAUAGAGUCAAAACUCUUUUGCGUCGACUCCAGUAUAGUUUUUUUUUCAAGCAAUAAAAAUACAGGCAAAAAUGUCUGAGGGUGAAGCAUCAACAUCAUAUGAGCGUAAAUACGUCAAACCGGUGCCAUCUGUCGAAUCGAUGCGGGAUAUGGCUCUUUGGAAGAAAUCAAACGCUUAUUAUGAUAUCAUUAGUUUCAUCAGCAUGAUAAAUGAGGCAGUUCAAGGAAAGAAAUUGAGCACAAAAUUGAUACCGUCACCAAUUGCAGAUAAUUUACUACAUAUCUUCGAUGCUUUGAAUAAAAUGAUAGAUGAAACACCACAAACACUCGGCAACCAAGCCUAUCGUGAUUGGUUUGAAAAGAUGAGAAGUGACUCAACGGAAUUACUAAAAAAAGAAUUACCAGUGAUACCUCAUCAUGCACUCAUUGAAGUCAGCAAAUAUUUUAUUGAAUCAUUUGGUAAUGCGACACGAAUUGACUAUGGACCCAGUCAUGAAUUGGCAUUCAUCAUGUUUUUGUGUGCACUUUAUAAAAUCCAUGUAUUGGACGAAAGUGAUAAUUUAUGUGUUGGAUUGAAAAUAUUCAAUGCAUAUUUACAAGUUGUACGUCGAUUGCAGUUAACAUAUAGCAUGGAAACCGCUGGUAGUCAUGGUGUUUCAAGCAUGUAUGACGAUCAAUACUUACCAUUUAUUUGGGGAAGCGCUCAGCUUUGUGCAAAGGAACCGUUCGAACCAAAUCGUUCGCUUGAAACCAAUGUCAUCAGGCGAUUCAAAAAUGAAUACUACGUCAUUGGAUGUAUUGAUCACUUUCGACAGGUGAAUACUGAUAGUUUUGCCGAAUAUUCAAAUCCGUUGUGGAGCACAAGCAGCGUUUAUUCGUGGGUAAAAAUAAAUUCCAUUCUCAUCGAGAAUUAUGAAAAAGAGUUGCUUGCAGAAUUCCCUGUGAUUCAACAUGUGCUGUUCGGAUCAAUUUUAGAAUUGAAGGAAAUUUCAGUGAUCGAUCAAAUCAAAAAAAUGAAAAUCGAAAUGAAAAACGAAAUGAAAAACGAAAUCAAAGGGAUGCAUCAGCAACUCAACAAACCGACAACGAUUUGGGAAAUGAUUUCAUCUCAAUUGGUAUGGCUCUUCAGCCUGGUAUGUUCUGGAUGGUUUUCAAACCAUACAGCGCUUAUUCUUUGGUUUGCAUGGUGUUUCAACUUUGCCAAAUCUUCUUCGAACAACUUAUCAAUACUCUCAUUGACCAAAUCUUCAUUAUAACGCAAGGAAUCUGUAUCAUUGUACCAUCUCCAAUUUUGACCAGACUUAUCACCGUGGACUCCACCUAACACAUAUACGUCGUGUCGCCGUUGUUGAUUGACUAUUUCGGUGACAGCUGUCAUAAUUUGAUCUUCGCUUACUGGUGUAUUAAAUAGAUGGACAACAAUUUCAAACAAGGUUUCGAAACUUAUUUCUGGAAGCAAACAUUAGAAACCAAACCAUACAAAGGUUUUUAUCAAAGGUUAAAUAUUUAUAUAAAUUUUGAUACUAGCGUAAAUAAAUCAAUAACCGCUCAGCUUCUGGAAAAUGUCGAUGGCACCAUUGCCAAUGCAUUGGAUCUUUUGCAACCACAUGCAGAAAAAUGGACGAAUUUUUUUCAAUAUUUUUUUCUUUACUUUUUUCGUAUUUUAUCACAUAUACUAUGCAAAGCUUUGCAAUUACUUUAUUAUCUAUGCAUAGAUUUGUGGAUUGUAGAAUGUAUUCAAAGGUGUUGGGAAUCCUGUGAAUAAUAUAGAGUUUAUCAAUAAAAUAGUAUAUCCGCAGAAAAAAAUUCAUUU